GGUUGUGGCUCAGUGGCAGAGCACUUGCCUAGCAUGUAUGAGGCACUGAGUUCGAUUCUCAGCACCA
This 67-nucleotide transfer RNA is filed under the name Marmota monax (woodchuck). RNAcentral's name for it is "tRNA.Ala". It matches the Rfam family "tRNA". Rfam says of the family: Transfer RNA (tRNA) molecules are approximately 80 nucleotides in length. Their secondary structure includes four short double-helical elements and three loops (D, anti-codon, and T loops). The record is from RNAcentral. Lineage: Eukaryota; Metazoa; Chordata; Mammalia; Rodentia; Sciuridae.